GGAGUUGGGCAUGUGGUAGUUUAGGUUGACGUGUUGGAGUGUUGCUUCGUUCCAAGUCCAAUCUUGAAUAUGGCUUUAGCAUGGCCCAGAGAGGGUGAAAGGCCCGUGUGGACGGAGUGACGCUUUACUAUGUUGACUUUGGAGUCGGGUUGUUUGAGAAUGCAGCCCAAAGUUGGUGGUAAACUCCAUCUAAGGCUAAAUACUGGCACGAGUCCGAUAGCGAACAAGUACCGUGAGGGAAAGUUGAAAAGUACUCUGAAGAGAGAGUUAACAGUGCGUGAAACCGCUUAGAGGCAAACGGGUGUAGUCAAGCUGCAAGCUCAUUGAAAUAGGAGGGCCAGAAUGGCGUGAGUCUGAGCACAUAGAGCUGUCAGGUGGUGCGUCCAUAUGGGCGUGUUCGCUUCGCAAGGAGCGGAUCUGUGAAGUAACAAUCGUUGCUGCAGGCCGUCAUUGGCAGUUGCUCUGCUGGCCCUCUCACUUUCUUUGGGCGUAUGUCACGACCGUCGUUGCUGUCGGUCUGCUCCGUCUAAACCGCAUCAGGAGUAGUCUUGUGCUUCUCGUGAUAUGGAGGCAGGUAGCUGGGCAAUGUCAUUUGAUAUUGCUCAGUGUUAUUGCUGGGCGGAGUGGUACCUGUAACUGUGCAGUGCGGCGGGGCUGGCGGUGCAUUGGUUCCUGGAUUGCUAAAACCUGUUGGCGUGACGUGGGUCUGGUUGCUUGUUGCUGUCUGAGACGGCCUUGUGACGGCUCUGUUACGGUUUGAUGGGUGGCCGAGUCUGGGCUUUCUUUGCGUUGAGCCUAUAGUCUGUGGCGUAGUGGUAGACGAUCCACCCGACCCGUCUUGAAACACGGACCAAGGAGUUUAACAUGUGCGCGAGUCAAUGAGUAUUGCUUUGCAUACGAAACUCAAAGGCGCAGUGAAAGUAAAGGGCAACCUAGUUGCCUGAGUGAGAUCCCGCUAUUUCUCUUGUGAUUUGAUCAGACAGUAGAGUGGUGGGCGCAUCACCGGCCCGUCCCAUGGUGUAGUUGGGCUUGCCUAUCAGCACCGGGGCGGAGCAGGAGCGUACAUGUUGAGACCGAAAG
RNAcentral lists this ribosomal RNA (1080 nucleotides) under Sauricotyle sprostoni. RNAcentral describes it as "eukaryotic LSU rRNA". It matches the Rfam family "Eukaryotic large subunit ribosomal RNA", at positions 132 to 822 of the family's 3401-position model. Lineage: Eukaryota; Metazoa; Platyhelminthes; Monogenea; Mazocraeidea; Diclidophoridae. The record is from RNAcentral.